RNAcentral lists this ribosomal RNA (1163 nucleotides) under Coltriciella sp. DS-2016a. RNAcentral describes it as "eukaryotic LSU rRNA". The stretch from base 521 to 675 matches the Rfam family "5.8S ribosomal RNA". Lineage: Eukaryota; Fungi; Basidiomycota; Agaricomycetes; Hymenochaetales; Hymenochaetaceae. The record is from RNAcentral.
UCGGAACCAAGGUUUCCCGUAGGGGGAACCCUACGGAAGGAUCAUUAUUGAAUUCUUUGAAGUGCAGGUUGUCUUGUAUGUCUCACCUUUUGUAGUCUUUGAUGCUGGCAAUAGCAUUUGUUGUUGCAAUGUGCUCAAGGCUUAUUCUUAAGGGGGGGAGCAAUAAUGGACACCUGCUUUUUAAGAUUGCUCAUGUUCCCUUUAACACCCUGUGCACUAUAAGCAAAGCUUUGUUCCUGCAAGUCAAAUCUAUGUUGUGAUUUAGCAUCUAUUUUGUUGCAUAUGGGCGCCCUCUAUCAUAUAUUGACCAGCUCAAGGAAUUAUUGUGUUAAUAACAAUGUUCCAAAGCAAAAAUGGGGAGUAUGUGUAUGGGGUUUUUGCACAUGCAAAUGGUAUAUAUGUAUGCAUAUAGUCACAAAAAGGAUGACUUUAAAGGGAUAUAUUGGCUUUGUCUUCAUAUAAACCCUUGUAAUUGUCUUGUACAAUGAAAAUGGCUCAAUUGUGAGCAAAAAAUUCAUACAACUUUCAACAAUGGAUCUCUUGGCUCUUGCAUCGAUGAAGAACGCAGCGAAAUGCGAUAAGUAAUGUGAAUUGCAGAAUUCAGUGAAUCAUCGAAUCUUUGAACACACCUUGUGCUCCUUGGGUUACCUAUGGAGCAUGCCUGUUUGAGUGUCAUGUUAAUCUCAAUUCCCUCAGGCAUUUUUUGUACAAACAAGAAAAGGCCUGCUCAGGGUAAAUUGGACUUGGAGGUUUUCAUGCAGGUUCCCCCUUCGUAGGGAAUCAGCUCCUCUUAAAAAUAUUAGCUGGAGGGAUAAUGCAAAAUGGCUUCUUAGCAUUGUUCAUUGGCUUAUGGUGUAAUAAUUGUUUCAUCAUGGCCAUCAGUGCAAAUGGCAAAUACAGCCUCCAAAGAGACCUUUGUAGUAUUUCUCUGCUUCUAAUUUGUCAGAUUUAUUUGACAACUUCAUGUAUUCUCUUUGGCCUCAAAUCAGGUAGGACUACCCGCUGAACUUAAGCAUAUCAUUAAGCGGAGGAAAAGAAACUAACAAGGAUUCCCCUAGUAACUGCGAGUGAAGCGGGAAGAGCUCAAAUUUAAAAUCUGGCAGCUUUUGCUGUCCGAAUUGUAAACCGGUAGAACCAUUUUUUUGUCCUGGUACCGGGUAAAA